This 469-nucleotide ribosomal RNA is filed under the name uncultured bacterium. RNAcentral's name for it is "partial 16S ribosomal RNA". It matches the Rfam family "Bacterial small subunit ribosomal RNA", at positions 28 to 507 of the family's 1533-position model. The record is from RNAcentral.
GACGAACGCUGGCGGCGUGCUUAACACAUGCAAGUCGAACGGAAAGGCCCUGCUUGCAGGGUGCUCGAGUGGCGAACGGGUGAGUAACACGUGGGUGAUCUGCCCCUUACUUUGGGAUAAGCCUGGGAAACUGGGUCUAAUACUGGAUAGGACCAUGCUGUAGGUGGUGUGGUGGAAAGAUUAGUUUCGGUAAGGGAUGAGCUCGCGGCCUAUCAGCUUGUUGGUGGGGUAAUGGCCUACCAAGGCGUCGACGGGUAGCCGGCCUGAGAGGGUGGACGGCCACAUUGGGACUGAGAUACGGCCCAGACUCCUACGGGAGGCAGCAGUGGGGAAUAUUGCACAAUGGGCGCAAGCCUGAUGAAGCGACGCCGCGUGGGGGAUGACGGCCUUCGGGUUGUAAACUCCUUGCAGCCAUGACGAAGCCCUUGUGGUGACGGUAGUGGUAGAAGAAGCACCGGCUAACUACGUG